RNAcentral lists this ribosomal RNA (465 nucleotides) under Vreelandella stevensii. RNAcentral's name for it is "partial 16S ribosomal RNA". It matches the Rfam family "Bacterial small subunit ribosomal RNA", at positions 338 to 795 of the family's 1533-position model. The record is from RNAcentral. Lineage: Bacteria; Pseudomonadati; Pseudomonadota; Gammaproteobacteria; Oceanospirillales; Halomonadaceae.
CCUACGGGUGGCAGCAGUGGGGAAUAUUGGACAAUGGGCGAAAGCCUGAUCCAGCCAUGCCGCGUGUGUGAAGAAGGCCUUCGGGUUGUAAAGCACUUUCAGUGGGGAAGAAAGCCUUGGGGCUAAUACCCUCGAGGAAGGACAUCACCCACAGAGGAAGCACCGGCUAACUCCGUGCCAGCAGCCGCGGUAAUACGGAGGGUGCGAGCGUUAAUCGGAAUUACUGGGCGUAAAGCGCGCGUAGGCGGUCUGAUAAGCCGGUUGUGAAAGCCCCGGGCUCAACCUGGGAACGGCAUCCGGAACUGUCAGGCUAGAGUGCAGGAGAGGAAGGUAGAAUUCCCGGUGUAGCGGUGAAAUGCGUAGAGAUCGGGAGGAAUACCAGUGGCGAAGGCGGCCUUCUGGACUGACACUGACGCUGAGGUGCGAAAGCGUGGGUAGCAAACAGGAUUAGAUACCCGUGUAGUC